UACAGAGGGUGCGAGCGUUGUCCGGAAUCACUGGGCGUAAAGGGCGCGUAGGCGGCCUUCUAAGUCAGACGUGAAAUCCCCGGGCUCAACCCGGGAACUGCGUCUGAUACUGGAUGGCUUGAAUCCGGGAGAGGGAUGCGGAAUUCCAGGUGUAGCGGUGAAAUGCGUAGAUAUCUGGAGGAACACCGGUGGCGAAGGCGGCAUCCUGGACCGGUAUUGACACUGAGGCGCGAAAGCCAGGGGAGCAAACGGG
Molecule: ribosomal RNA, 253 nt
Filed under: uncultured bacterium
Lineage: Bacteria
Description: partial 16S ribosomal RNA
Rfam family: Bacterial small subunit ribosomal RNA
Source: RNAcentral